RNAcentral lists this long non-coding RNA (202 nucleotides) under Salvia miltiorrhiza (redroot sage). Its description in RNAcentral is "long non-coding RNA (SMIL_LNC003423)". The record is from RNAcentral. Lineage: Eukaryota; Viridiplantae; Streptophyta; Magnoliopsida; Lamiales; Lamiaceae.
GUAUUUUUUAAUUUUACUAUUCCAAAGUGGCUAUUUUCAAAAUCCACUCUUCUAUUUUCUAUGUUUCAAGUAAUGAACUUUAGACAUUAAUAACUCAUUAAUCUUAAUUUGAAAAUUAAUUAAUGAAUAUAUUAAAUUUAUGUAUUCAAAACGCAGAUACCAUAUCCACUAUUUAUGUCUAAUAAAUCCCGAUGAAUUACCA